RNAcentral lists this non-coding RNA (79 nucleotides) under unclassified sequences. RNAcentral's name for it is "L2-Alphaproteobacteria ribosomal protein leader". It matches the Rfam family "L2-Alphaproteobacteria ribosomal protein leader". The record is from RNAcentral.
GGCCACCUUCGGGGGGCUUUAACAUAGCGGACCCGCAGGCAAGCGCCGAGGGGUCCGUGUGCUAGACGGAAGACAGAAA